CAGGGGGUGCGGGGGGGGGCAGCAGCAGCAGCAUCUUGAUUGAACUAACGAGGUCAGACUCCGGAAUUUGGGGCAGUAAUAGCCGCGUGUCAGCAUUGCCGCUUCGGAGAACCUCGAGAUGCUUGGUCUCGCCAGCUGCAGCGCCAGACUGCUCUCUCAGCUUUUGAUCUGUUGGACGUGUGAAACUUGGCUCUAUUUUGUAAAUACGCUCUGAGCAGACUGCAUUGGGGGCUGCUCGGUCCUUGUUGGAAACUUAUUUCCCAGAGCUGCGCCUUCUUUUACUCUGCAGAGGAAAACAAAGCUUUGGAACCGUUCUCCUCUUGCUGCCAUGCAGAGUCAACACUUUCAACAAGCUGUCCAUGACGACCACAAGAUCUCAUUCCUGAUCAGACACCGACAGCUCAGAUUCCAUCAGUAUAUGCGUGGCUGGGUGUGUGUUUUUUGCCCAAUAUACAUCACUUUACACUUGCUUA
Molecule: long non-coding RNA, 473 nt
Organism: Hemicordylus capensis (graceful crag lizard)
Lineage: Eukaryota; Metazoa; Chordata; Lepidosauria; Squamata; Cordylidae
Exons: 2
Source: RefSeq, a predicted model, not a curated record